GCAAGUCGAGCGGAAACGAUGAUAGCUUGCUAUCAGGCGUCGAGCGGCGGACGGGUGAGUAAUGCUUGGGGAUCUGCCCUGAUGUGGGGGAUAACAGCUGGAAACGGCUGCUAAUACCGCAUAAUGUCUUAGGACCAAAGAUGGCCUCUUCUUGAAAGCUAUCGCGUUAGGAUGAACCCAAGUGGGAUUAGCUUGUUGGUGGGGUAAUGGCUCACCAAGGCGACGAUCCCUAGCUGGUCUGAGAGGAUGAUC
Molecule: ribosomal RNA, 252 nt
Filed under: uncultured bacterium
Lineage: Bacteria
Description: partial 16S ribosomal RNA
Rfam family: Bacterial small subunit ribosomal RNA
Source: RNAcentral